Molecule: ribosomal RNA, 320 nt
Filed under: uncultured organism
Description: bacterial SSU rRNA
Rfam family: Bacterial small subunit ribosomal RNA
Source: RNAcentral
UCGAGUGGCGAACGGGUGAGUAACGCGUGAGGAACCUGCCUCAAAGAGGGGGACAACAGUUGGAAACGACUGCUAAUACCGCAUAAGCCCACAGCUCGGCAUCGAGCAGAGGGAAAAGGAGCAAUCCGCUUUGAGAUGGCCUCGCGUCCGAUUAGCUAGUUGGUGAGGUAACGGCCCACCAAGGCGACGAUCGGUAGCCGGACUGAGAGGUUGAACGGCCACAUUGGGACUGAGACACGGCCCAGACUCCUACGGGAGGCAGCAGUGGGGAAUAUUGCACAAUGGGGGAAACCCUGAUGCAGCGACGCCGCGUGGAGGAA